This 2293-nucleotide long non-coding RNA is filed under the name Capsicum annuum. Its description in RNAcentral is "long non-coding RNA (CANN_LNC021106)". The record is from RNAcentral. Lineage: Eukaryota; Viridiplantae; Streptophyta; Magnoliopsida; Solanales; Solanaceae.
GGUAAUGACAACCUUUCUAGCAGUGGCCAAGCUCAGGUAAUCAUUAAUUAAUUAGUACUCUAUAUAUUGAUAAUAAUUACUAAAGAUUGAUCCAUAUUUAAACUAAAGUUCUGUUUUUUCCCAAUUGCAGAUGAGAAAAGAUAGCUCAAACGCACCUUCUGAUGUCCAUAAUCAGGGCCAAAGGCCUAAGUUUCUUCAAGAGGUAAUUUAUAAUACACCUUUAAUUUCUCACUAAAUUGUAGCUGUGCAUCAGGGAUUUAGAACAGGAUUCAACAUAUAUAUAUAUAUAUAUAUAGUAAUUUAUUAAAUUUUUUAAUAAAUAUUAGAGUUGAACUCAUAAUUUUAACAUUUUAAGUAAUAAAUUUAGUACCGAAAUUUUAAGUAAAUAUAUUCAAUUUAAAGCCUAAAUUCAUAUCUAAUUUACUCUCAAUUGCUUUGAUCUGAACUCUUAUAUGUGUUCAAUAUCCUGAAUAUUAAAUUUACAAAAUCAGUAACUUAAAUGAUUAGUGAGUUCAGUUCAAUAAUACCCUAAAUUUAUGAAGUUCGAAAUUUUGAAUCCGUCUGUGUUAAUAGUAGUUAGGUUCGAAUUGUAUCGAUUUGGUAUUUAUAGAAAUUUUAAUUUUUACUUAGUAGGCGUUUAUUACUAUUAUUACUUAACCUCUCCUAUAUAUACUUCUACAAUUAUAAUGCAUAGGACGAAGCAUAUUUAUUACUAUUAUUAUUAUUGAUAAAUAAAAUAAUAUAUAUUUAUGGUGUAUAAACUUAUCCUUACUUGCAAUUAUUUUAAAGUAGAAAAUAUAAAUUAGAAUUUAAUAAUUAAAUUCAACGUCUAUAUCUACUUGAAAUACCUUUAUAUAUUUAAGUUGUCAAUUGAUUUUUAUAUAGAAAAACAAAAACAAAAGAAAGAAAGAAAGGAAGAUAGAAAAGAAAAGAACAAAAAAAAAUUUCAAAUAAAAAACGUGAAAAAAAAGGUAAACUACUAAAAGAUAAUUCAGAGAUUGUUAGUUUUAAAUUAAAAAUAAUUAUAAAAUAAAACUAUAAAUUGAAAAUAGUUAGUUAUCACACUAGAGAGUUCUAAUUGGACUCUUAUUGUUGUUUAACCAAUCAUAUAAAAUGUUCUCUUUUUUUGUGAAUUUCAAUUGGAUAUAAAAUAUCUUCUUAAAGAUAAAUUAAUUUUUUUUAAAAAAUAAUAUUAGAUGUAUUUAUUCCAUAUAUAUCAAAUUGAUAUUAAUAAGCAGGACAAGAAACCACGUGGCAAAAUAUUAAAAAGCCACGUGGCAAUUUUUAGGACAUAACUUAAUAAUGUUGUAAUAAUAAUCUAUUAAAAUAUUAUAACCAAUAACCAAUAUUAUUCUUUAUUUUUUAAAAAAGAUUUCAUUAGCUUAAAAAUAGUAGUUUUUACUGUAGCAGUAGAUUAUUUUUGAAUCCAUAGCAUAAUAAUAAAAAUAGUAUAAGAUAAUAAUAAUAAGAAAAAAAUAAUAGUACGUAUAUAUAUAUACUAAUAUUAGUAGUAGCGAUAGUAGUAAUAUAUUAUAUUUUAAUACAUUUGAUAAAAUUCUAAAUGAAAGAUAAAGUCUAAUAGUAAUAUUAUUAUUAUUAUUAUUAUUAUUAUUAAUAAUAAUAAUAAUAAUCUCAUUGGUUUCAAAUUAUUAUCUCAGUUCAAAUAUAUACAUUAUUAGGUAAAUAUAUAUCACAUUUUAAAAAAUAAGGAUAAAAUAGAAUAAUAACAAACUAACCCUUUUUUAAUAAAUUAAUAUGAUAUUUGAAAUUUGAAUUUUGAAUGAAAUUUGAAUUGGAAUUGGAUUCUAUGUUCUUAGCCUCUUUUAUAUAUACUCCUACACCAUAAGUUUUAUUGGUGAAUUUGUUUACUACAUUCUUUAAAAUUUUUAUUUUAAAAAUUAUUUUUGAUUUAACAUUCUUCUUUUUUAUAUGGAGGAAGGAUAUGAUUUCUUCAUCUUCAACUUUCUCUAUUAUUGUAAACGAAAAGGAACAAGUCUACAUCCAUUCGCCCCUUACUUCAAAUGGUAACAUAUUUCAAGAAGAUAAGGAGAAAAAAAAUCGAUAAUAAUUGAAACUUUGGUAAGCAAAGGAUUUACAGGUAAACAGACUUUGAAUUAAUACAAUUUUUAUUUUUUAAUUUAUGAAGAAGUCUUCUUGAGAGUUUAUUCUAAUUUUUAAUGAUAAUUUUAUUGUUGUUGUUGACUUGCAGAAGAGACAAAGAAGACCGAAAGGAAGAAAAUAAAAGAUAAGUGCAGAGUAGAGUUUUCAAUUUUAUUGGUAUAGUUGGCCAGCU